RNAcentral lists this ribosomal RNA (492 nucleotides) under uncultured bacterium. RNAcentral's name for it is "partial 16S ribosomal RNA". It matches the Rfam family "Bacterial small subunit ribosomal RNA", at positions 29 to 507 of the family's 1533-position model. The record is from RNAcentral.
AGUGAACGCUGGCGGUAGGCCUAACACAUGCAAGUCGAACGGCAGCACAGUAAGAGCUUGCUCUUACGGGUGGCGAGUGGCGGACGGGUGAGGAAUACAUCGGAAUCUACUUUUUCGUGGGGGAUAACGUAGGGAAACUUACGCUAAUACCGCAUACGACCUACGGGUGAAAGCAGGGGAUCUUCGGACCUUGCGCGAAUGAAUGAGCCGAUGUCGGAUUAGCUAGUUGGCGGGGUAAAGGCCCACCAAGGCGACGAUCCGUAGCUGGUCUGAGAGGAUGAUCAGCCACACUGGAACUGAGACAAGGUCCAGACUCCUACGGGAGGCAGCAGUGGGGAAUAUUGGACAAUGGGCGCAAGCCUGAUCCAGCCAUACCGCGUGGGUGAAGAAGGCCUUCGGGUUGUAAAGCCCUUUUGUUGGGAAAGAAAAGCAGCAGGUUAAUACCCCGCUGUUCUGACGGUACCCAAAGAAUAAGCACCGGCUAACUUCGUG